Chlorocebus sabaeus (green monkey) is the source of this 73-nucleotide microRNA precursor. The record is from Ensembl. Lineage: Eukaryota; Metazoa; Chordata; Mammalia; Primates; Cercopithecidae.
GUGCAGACUUAUUGUCUCUGUUCUAACACAAGACUAGGCUUCCCUGUGUUAGAAUAGGGCAAUAACUCUGCAC